Molecule: ribosomal RNA, 253 nt
Filed under: uncultured bacterium
Lineage: Bacteria
Description: partial 16S ribosomal RNA
Rfam family: Bacterial small subunit ribosomal RNA
Source: RNAcentral
UACAGGGGGGGCAAGCGUUGUUCGGAAUUACUGGGCGUAAAGGGUUUGUAGGUGGCUUGCUAAGUCAGACGUGAAAUCCCUCAGCUUAACUGGGGAACUGCGUCUGAUACUGGCGAGCUUGAGUGCAGGAGAGGAACGCGGAAUUCCCGGUGUAGCGGUGAAAUGCGCAGAUAUCAGUCGGAACACCGGUGGCGAAGGCGGCUUCUUGGGCCUUUACUGACGCUGAGGCGCGAAAGCUGGGGGAGCGAACGGG